Rhododendron vialii is the source of this 4581-nucleotide long non-coding RNA. RefSeq lists it as uncharacterized. The transcript is spliced from 4 exons. NCBI's taxonomy places the organism in Eukaryota, Viridiplantae, Streptophyta, Magnoliopsida, Ericales, Ericaceae. The record is from RefSeq and is a predicted model, not a curated record.
CUUCGUCUAGUCCUUUCCGUGUCCACCCGCUAAUUCGCGAAUUCCUAAAUCCUUACGAGCCAGCCAGCCGCCCCAUCUUUAAAUUCCUACUCAUCUUCCAUUUCAUGACCCUAAAACACCCGCCCCCGUUCAUCUCCGGCGUCAACCUCUGCUCGAUCGGCUCUCUCUUUUGAUUCCGACUCCGACUAUAGUUUCACGGCUAUAAAUUUUGGAGAUUUGGUGACGAGGUGUUGGCCCAUGAUGGACUCUCGAAAGAUAUGUACUGUUCGAAGUUCGUACUCCUACUAGACAUCAAGCCACCUUCAGUUUGAUGAGUGAAAGGAUUUUAUCAACGGAUGAAUUUCUCUGCUCUUCCCACCAUUUCUCCUUUUCUUUGCUUGUUGUUUCAAGUUUUCAACACGGUUGUUGUCAUGCUCUCCGUAGUUUCACCCUUGCUGUCUCUUCAUUGGGGUCAACUAAGGUUGUGCAAAAAAUUAGGUGAACCAUGAAACCGGUCCGGACCGAACCGAUCUGUAUCUUUUGGAUUUUAUCCGUGGAUUAAUGGUCCGGACACUGAUUGAAAAUUAAAAAAUCUUGACUCACGGUUCGGUCUACGAGAUAUUUAUUCUAUAUAAAUAAUAAAUAAAAAAAUGUAUAUGUAUAUCUUAAAUUUUUUUUUAUUACCAAUUUUAGUAUUUUACCUUAAUAUUGGGAUACGGUUGCCAGUUGUCGUGCCUUGCAUUUUGAUGGAAGAUCUUCUUUUGUGCUUAUUUGUUUUCCCAUUUUGAUGUUUACUGUGGUUUUUUUGUUUGGUUUUAUAUAAUCCAAUACUUUAUCUGGUGGUGUUAGUUUUGAUGUAAUCAAAUAUUUUAUUGUGCUUUAAUGGAAGAUAUUUUUGUUCGGUGUUGUCCAACUGAUUGUAAAGGAUCAAACUUUUCAAUCAAAACAAUGGAGGUUGUCAUAGUUUCUUGUGGUUUAAAGUCGAGUUUCGUGAAGGUACAGUGAUUUUGAAAUUAGUGGAGAGGAAUGACAACAGACAAGGAGAAGGAGAAUGGUGGAAAGAGUGGAGAAGUGCUUCCGAAUGGUGGUGGUUACUUAUGAUUGCCAACAAUAGCUUAUUGCAUUCAUGUCAUUACGGUCUCGGAGGACACUCUUUCCUUUUGGCUAGAUGUAAAUGGAGGUUAAGAAGCUUGAGGUAUUCAUGUUGUGCGGAUUAACCCUUAUUUGCUUUCAUUUAUGUGUAUUUAUUUAUGCAGAUAUGGCUUCACAUUUCUCCCUGCUUCGUUUAUUGUUAUCUUGUUUAACACUCAGACUUUUAUGAUCUACUUUUUAGUCUUUUGGGUAGUGAACUCUUGGGGUUUACUCAUCAUUUGUUUAGCAUUUUCCUAAAACAAUUAUUCGAUCUUGUUAUGCAUGUGUUUUUGAAAGCUGCAACUUUCUACUUUCCCUUGUUAGCCUAAAAUAAUUUUAGAUCUGGUUAUGCGUAUGCUCUUUUUGCGAAUUCAAAGGAAUGUAUUAUAUGUUGUAAUUUAUCUGUUUAAAGUCUUUGUAUUUAGAUAUUUAUGGUAUGAGGAUCAUGUUUGCUUACCGCCCUUCUAGUCAUUAGGUAGCAAGCAUUGUAGAAGAACUCUUCUAUCCGCUUCUUUUCUGGGUCCUGGCCGUGUGGUCAGUAGUUAGCUUUGCAGAAGUAUUUUAUCGCCACGUUUUUUUUGGAUCCUAACUUGGACUUGGGAUCGGUGUCGGUAAACAAAAAUUUGAAGAUUUUUAGCUCCCCCAAUUACUUUGACAUGACUUCAUUUUGUUACUACGUUGUGUUGGGCUCCCAAAGAUUUAUUCUCUUUCAUAGUCAAUUCUAGUAUGUUUUCCAGUUUUUCUUAUUAUUGUUUCUCCCUGUUUGUGCAUUAGAGGUGAUUGGCGAAAACCUCAAUAGAUUCAAACUGAAUGUUCAAGCAACAGUAGUGGUUUUCCUAAUGAGUUUGGCUGCAACAGGCUUACAAACAUUACGGAUUAGACGAAAGCACAUGACUUGGAAAUCAACCUGGAAAAUCCAUUUUAUUUCCUCGUUUGGUCAAUAGAUCCAGGUCUCACUUGCUAGUUGCUAGCACAAAAGGAAAUAAAUACAACAAAGAGAUUUAUAACUGCCAUUGUCUCAUACUCAAUUAUUCAUACCUCUACCAUUUUCUAUUUUGCUGCUUAUCUGAACCACCUCCUUAGAUCGGUUGUUGAACAUGGAGAAAUUUCUCCACCUACGCUUUCGGUGUAGCAAGAUGACAGAUUGGACCCAUGUUCGACCCCCAAAAAUCCUGCUUGAACACUCUUGAAGCUAGGACUUCUUGAGUUCUGGCAGAAACCACUGCCACCAAUCCCAACAUUGCUGUAUGGCUCAGGAACAGGGUAUGAUAACCUUUUCUUCACGGACCCACUUCGUUCCCUCUCCGGUGUUGAGGGCCUCUGCCUCGUUGCGCUUUGUGACCGAAAUCGAGCUUUUGCAGACUCAGUAGCAGCCAUGUAGUUGGGCAUUGCAUAAUUCCAAGCACCUAAUUCACUUCCAUGGCGAGAUACUAAGCAUGGCGUAUUAGCCAUUGAGUAGCUUCUUUCUUCCUUGGGGCAUCGGGGGCUUGCUGAACGCAUGUGAAGUGGUCUCACUUUGGAGGGAGAGGGAGUCAAGGGAGGUUGAGGGUAGGAUGCUCUAUGGCGAGGAGAAGCAACAGAGCGUACACUUGAUUGCCUCUGAUUCUGAUGUUGAGAUUGUGACGUGCUGAUACGAUGAGUGGAAUAACAGUAAGGUCUGGAUGUGUCCAUUUCAAGAGUUUUUGUGGUUUCUCUCAUAUCUGUGGAAGAUCUGUCGGUCUCCCAUUGCUUGGUUGCCAUCCACCGGUCUAGCCAGUUUGUUCUUUCGUCUAUCUCCUUUUCAUCUCCGGUGGAAGCGUUCCUACCUGAAUCCCAUAUCUUCAAUUUGGGUGGGUGUCAACACAUGAAAGAUAUAUGAGAUCGAAACUCCAAACGAAUAAGAAAUGAGUGAGACAGGGCAGAGAGAGAUACCUGCUGAGAAAAUGCAUGUGCCAGGGUUUUUUCAUGGUUCAAAGCGGCCGCCUCCUUUCGUGUCUGCAAAAUAGCAUCAAGUUCUUCGAGCGUGCGUGGACAGUCGUCCCAAUUGUCUGCAUUGUAACUACCAGCUCUGGAAUGCUAUACAAAAUGGGAAUCAAGCAAUGACUUAUUAGACUAAAUGUAUGGAUAUUGAGGAGAUAGUGUUUCAGCCAUCAAGUAGUACUCCAAUUUGUAAAAGAAACAUACGAUUGAUUUCCUCUCACGAACGUCUUGCAUAUAUUUAGAUUCCCACAAAUUAUUGCUUUCUGCAAACAUUGAUUUUCUGGUCACUUCGAGGGAGGGCCUCGCACGGUGGUCACGCACCCGAGCCUGAACUCGAAACAGGGCUUGCAUGCAUUUCAAAGUCAUCUUUGUUUGCCUCCUAACAUUCUGUCCUCUCACUAAAGCUUGGAGCUUCACAAUCCCCUGAAGUGCUCGAAGAGCUCUCCUUGCCUUCAACCAACAAAUGAACUUUUUAGAUGCUGAUAAUGAUGUAUCAAACAUCAAUAAUUCUUCUCCUGCUUCAAAGAUAGAUUUUUUUCCUGUCUUAUGGUGUUACCAUUUAAAUCCAAUAACUUCUGUUUUUGUUUUUGACAUGAAGUUCUACAGAUUGAUUAGUAUGUUACAUUACAACGGAAGUGUUGACAUUGCUUUAUCAGCUUGAACAAGACCUCACUCUUUUGGGUCCAACCUACGGAUAGUGAUGCCGCUGGACUGCAAGGCUAUUGGCAUUUACUAUUUUUGUAGAACUUCAUGUCUUCGGAUUUGUAAUUUUUGGAGCCUAAAAAUGAUUUUGGGCUUCUCAAUAACAUAGGAACAAGCACCCCAACAUAUGCAGCAGAUAGGAAUGGCAUGUAUUUUAGGUUUUUGUUGCUUACCAAGUAGCCUUUGAAACAAGUCUGGAUGACAAUGGCAGCAUUGUGUUCCCUAAGGCAAGUAGAAGAAGGUGUAGUCAAUCGAAUGAUCUCAACAGCCGCCUGUGCCGUUGCAGCCGCGGCUUCAGCUGCCGCUACCGUGGCUGUUGCCACUGCAAUCGCAUGCCUUCGGUCUGCAGCCAAACAUUGUGCAUUCAUGAGUGGAGCACUGUUAUUUGUUGCUUCACGUUGGUGGUCAUGAGUAUUACUGGGAGCUCUCCUGAACAACCAUCUUCGCUUCUCUCUCUUCUGCAUCAAUCCAAAAUCAUAAACACUCCAAAAUGUAAAAAAAAGCGUCAAAACUAAGAGAUUGGAGUUUUGGUAAAGCCUAGUUUAUUAAUUACCUGUUCUUCUUCUUCUUGCUCAUUUUCUUCCCUCCUCCUCCUACUCUUUUUGUCCUCGUUCUUGGAUGGAGACCUGAAAGCCCUCUUAACAACUGUCAACCAAGAGGUGCCUCCUUUCUUGCCCAUGAACUAUUGUAGGAAAAAACGUAGCACUUCUUCUCUAUAAGAAUUUCGAGAAAAACCAAGAGUAGCAGAGAGAAAGAGAGAGAGAGAGAGAGAGAGAGAGAGAGUGAUGUAUUCUUUGGGUUUGGGUAACG